This 1081-nucleotide ribosomal RNA is filed under the name uncultured bacterium. RNAcentral describes it as "bacterial SSU rRNA". It matches the Rfam family "Bacterial small subunit ribosomal RNA", at positions 9 to 1104 of the family's 1533-position model. The record is from RNAcentral.
GAGUUUGAUCCUGGCUCAGAAUCAACGCUGGCGGCGUGCCUCAGACAUGCAAGUCGAACGAUUAAACUUCUCUUCGGAGAAGAUAUAAAGUGGCGCACGGGUGAGUAACACGUAGGUAAUGUACCUUUGGGUGGGGAAUAACUUAGGGAAACUUAAGCUAAUACCGCAUAAUGCAGCGGCUCCUUCGGGAGACAGUUGUUAAAGAUUUAUCGCCUAAAGAGCAGCCUGCGGCAGAUUAGCUAGUUGGUAAGGUAACGGCUUACCAAGGCUACGAUCUGUAUCCGACCUGAGAGGGUGGUCGGACACACUGACACUGAAUAACGGGUCAGACUCCUACGGGAGGCAGCAGUCGGGAAUUUUGGGCAAUGGGCGAAAGCCUGACCCAGCAACGCCGCGUGAAGGAUGAAGUCUUUCGGGAUGUAAACUUCGUAAGAAUAGGAAGAAUAAAUGACGGUACUAUUUGUAAGGUCCGGCUAACUACGUGCCAGCAGCCGCGGUAAUACGUAGGGACCAAGCGUUGUUCGGAUUUACUGGGCGUAAAGGGCGCGUAGGCGGCAAUUCAAGUCAGUUGUGAAAUCUCCGAGCUUAACUCGGAACGGUCAACUGAUACUGCUUUGCUAGAGUACAGAAGGGGCAAUCGGAAUUCUUGGUGUAGCGGUGAAAUGCGUAGAUAUCAAGAGGAACACCUGAGGUGAAGACGGGUUGCUGGGCUGAUACUGACGCUGAGGCGCGAAAGCUAGGGUAGCAAACGGGAUUAGAUACCCCGGUAGUCCUAGCCCUAAACGAUGAAUACUUGGUGUCUGGAGUUUUAUUCUCCGGGUGCCGUCGCUAACGUUUUUAGUAUUCCGCCUGGGGAGUACGCACGCAAGUGUGAAACUCAAAGGAAUUGACGGGGACCCGCACAAGCGGUGGAGCAUGUGGUUUAAUUCGACGCAACGCGAAGAACCUUACCUGAACUAGAAUGCGAGGGAGGACUACCUAAUAGUAGUCGUCGGGCAACCGACCCAAAGCAAGGUGCUGCAUGGCUGUCGUCAGCUCGUGUCGUGAGAUGUUGGGUUAAGUCCCGCAACGAGCGCAACCC